RNAcentral lists this ribosomal RNA (497 nucleotides) under uncultured bacterium. Its description in RNAcentral is "partial 16S ribosomal RNA". It matches the Rfam family "Bacterial small subunit ribosomal RNA", at positions 28 to 507 of the family's 1533-position model. The record is from RNAcentral.
GAUGAACGCUGGCGGCGUGCCUAAUACAUGCAAGUCGAGCGAACGGACGAGAAGCUUGCUUCUCUGAUGUUAGCGGCGGACGGGUGCGUAACACGUGGAUAACCUACCUAUAAGACUGGGAUAACUUCGGGAAACCGUAGCUAAUACCGGAUAAUAUUUUGAACCGCAUUGUUCAAAAGUGAAAGACGGUCUUGCUGUCACUUAUAGAUGGAUCCGCGCUGCAUUAGCUAGUUGGUAAGGUAACGGCUUACCAAGGCAACGAUGCAUAGCCGACCUGAGAGGGUGGACGGACACACUGGAACUGAGACACGGUCCAGACUCCGACGGGAGGCAGCAGUAGGGAAUCUUCCGCGAAGGGCGAAAGCCUGACGGAGCAAAGCCGCGUGAGUGAUGAAGGUCUUCGGAUCGUAAAACUCUGUUAUUAGGGAAGAACAUAUGUGUAAGUAACUGUGCACAUCUUGACGGUACCUAAUCAGAAAGCCACGGCUAACUACGUG